GACGAACGCUGGCGGCGUGCUUAACGCAUGCAAGUCGAACGGAAAGGCCCUGCUUUUGUGGGGUGCUCGAGUGGCGAACGGGUGAGUAACACGUGAGUAACCUGCCCUUGACUUUGGGAUAACUUCAGGAAACUGGGGCUAAUACCGGAUAGGAGCUCCUGCUGCAUGGUGGGGGUUGGAAAGUUUCGGCGGUUGGGGAUGGACUCGCGGCUUAUCAGCUUGUUGGUGGGGUAGUGGCUUACCAAGGCUUUGACGGGUAGCCGGCCUGAGAGGGUUACCGGCCACAUUGGGACUGAGAGACGGCCCAGACUCCUACGGGAGGCAGCAGUGGGGAAUAUUGCACAAUGGGCGGAAGCCUGAUGCAGCAACGCCGCGUGCGGGAUGACGGCCUUCGGGUUGUAAACCGCUUUCGCCUGAGACGAAGCGUGAGUGACGGUAAUGGAUAAAGAAGCACCGGCUAACUACGUG
This 468-nucleotide ribosomal RNA is filed under the name uncultured bacterium. RNAcentral's name for it is "partial 16S ribosomal RNA". It matches the Rfam family "Bacterial small subunit ribosomal RNA", at positions 28 to 507 of the family's 1533-position model. The record is from RNAcentral.